ACACCCAGACACACUGUCUCUUCCUUCCGUGUGUGUUGACAGAUGUGACAGGAGAGCCAUCCUGACCUGCGUCUCUGGUGGAGGGUGCACAACAUCAGCUGCAUGCAGGGAGUGGUCUGCGAGGCUGGGGCUAGGAAUGGGAUCGUCUCCCUGUGGUAUUGCUGCUUUGAGCUUCAUCUAUGCGUGUGUCCCAUGAGCAAACUAAACAAAUGGAAGGCUUCUGCUAAGCUUCGACUCUCACAAAACUCAGCUCCUUGCCUCCAACGAAUCAACAGCCACAAACCCCGUGCAGGCUGGAGCAGUGGUCUCAUGAGGAAGCCAGGACGUGACCCUGGAGGCUGCAGCAUGUGAUAUGUGACACUCUGAGAUCUUGGCUCUCCUGCUGGUGCCCCUUUUUUACGGAAGUUGGGCACAGCAGCUCUGCCAGAGAGAACAAGGUAUGGGGCUCUCUGUUGCAUAGGGAGACAAUUGAGUGUGACCUACUUCUAAUGCUC
RNAcentral lists this long non-coding RNA (494 nucleotides) under Anas platyrhynchos (mallard). Its description in RNAcentral is "lncRNA (ENSAPLG00020008967.1)". Lineage: Eukaryota; Metazoa; Chordata; Aves; Anseriformes; Anatidae. The record is from RNAcentral.